GUGCCAGCCGCCGCGGUAAUACGUAGGGUCCAAGCGUUAAUCGGAAUUACUGGGCGUAAAGCGUGCGCAGGCGGUUGUGUAAGCCAGAUGUGAAAUCCCCGGGCUUAACCUGGGAAUGGCAUUUGGGACUGCACGGCUAGAGUACGGCAGAGGAGACUAGAAUUCCUGGUGUAGCAGUGAAAUGCGUAGAUAUCAGGAGGAAUACCGAUGGCGAAGGCAGGUCUCUGGGUCGAUACUGACGCUCAUGCACGAAAGCGUGGGGAGCAAACAGGAUUAGAUACCCUUGUAGUCC
Molecule: ribosomal RNA, 292 nt
Filed under: uncultured bacterium
Lineage: Bacteria
Description: partial 16S ribosomal RNA
Rfam family: Bacterial small subunit ribosomal RNA
Source: RNAcentral